AGAUUGAACGCUGGCGGCAGGCCUAACACAUGCAAGUCGAACGGUAACAGGAAGCAGCUUGCUGCUUUGCUGACGAGUGGCGGACGGGUGAGUAAUGUCUGGGAAACUGCCUGAUGGAGGGGGAUAACUACUGGAAACGGUAGCUAAUACCGCAUAACGUCGCAAGACCAAAGAGGGGGACCUUCGGGCCUCUUGCCAUCGGAUGUGCCCAGAUGGGAUUAGCUAGUAGGUGGGGUAACGGCUCACCUAGGCGACGAUCCCUAGCUGGUCUGAGAGGAUGACCAGCCACACUGGAACUGAGACACGGUCCAGACUCCUACGGGAGGCAGCAGUGGGGAAUAUUGCACAAUGGGCGCAAGCCUGAUGCAGCCAUGCCGCGUGUAUGAAGAAGGCCUUCGGGUUGUAAAGUACUUUCAGCGGGGAGGAAGGGAGUAAAGUUAAUACCUUUGCUCAUUGACGUUACCCGCAGAAGAAGCACCGGCUAACUCCGUGCCAGCAGCCGCGGUAAUACGGAGGGUGCAAGCGUUAAUCGGAAUUACUGGGCGUAAAGCGCACGCAGGCGGUUUGUUAAGUCAGAUGUGAAAUCCCCGGGCUCAACCUGGGAACUGCAUCUGAUACUGGCAAGCUUGAGUCUCGUAGAGGGGGGUAGAAUUCCAGGUGUAGCGGUGAAAUGCGUAGAGAUCUGGAGGAAUACCGGUGGCCAAGGCGGCCCCCUGGACGAAAACUGACGCUCAAGUGCGAAAGCGUGGGGGGGCAAACAGGAUUAGAUACCGUGGUAGUUCACGCCGUAAACGAUGUCGACUUGGAGGUUGUGCCCUUGAGGCGUGGCUUUCGGAGGUAACGCGUUAAGUUGUCCGCCUGGGGAGUACGGCCGCAAGGUUAAAACUCAAAUGAAUUGACGGGGGCCCGCACAAGCGGUGGAGCAUGUGGUUUAAUUCGAUGCAACGCGAAGAACCUUACCUGGUCUUGACAUCCACGGAAGUUUUCAGAGAUGAGAAUGUGCCUUCGGGAGCCGUGAGACAGGUGCUGCAUGGCUGUCGUCAGCUCGUGUUGUGAAAUGUUGGGUUAAGUCCCGCAACGAGCGCAACCCUUAUCCUUUGUUGCCAGCGGUCCGGCCGGGAACUCAAAGGAGACUGCCAGUGAUAAACUGGAGGAAGGUGGGGAUGACGUCAAGUCAUCAUGGCCCUUACGACCAGGGCUACACACGUGCUACAAUGGCGCAUACAAAGAGAAGCGACCUCGCGAGAGCAAGCGGACCUCAUAAAGUGCGUCGUAGUCCGGAUUGGAGUCUGCAACUCGACUCCAUGAAGUCGGAAUCGCUAGUAAUCGUGGAUCAGAAUGCCACGGUGAAUACGUUCCCGGGCCUUGUACACACCGCCCGUCACACCAUGGGAGUGGGUUGCAAAAGAAGUAGGUAGCUUAACCUUCGGGAGGGCGCUUACCA
Molecule: ribosomal RNA, 1444 nt
Filed under: uncultured organism
Description: SSU rRNA
Rfam family: Bacterial small subunit ribosomal RNA
Source: RNAcentral